Molecule: long non-coding RNA, 1157 nt
Filed under: Mus musculus (house mouse)
Lineage: Eukaryota; Metazoa; Chordata; Mammalia; Rodentia; Muridae
Description: predicted gene, 19696
Source: RNAcentral
GAGAGGCUGAGGAGUACGUACCAAGGGACAGUUUGUGAGACUCUGGUAGGUCCGUGACUGAGGGCACCCUUGUGGGAUGCUGAGUGUAGCCAUCAGGAAGCUGGGUCCCAGCCAACUCAGCCUGGGCUCUGCCGUUCUCCAGUGGUCAGAUAAGAAAGAGCGGUGUGGUCCUCUAAGGGAGUGAGCGAGGACUGCAGCUGCUUUGAGCCCUGGCCAGAGCCUCCAAUCAACCUUUGGUUCUGAUAAAGACAAGAAACCCAAGUACAACCUGUAGAGCCAGAGGUGGGGGCCAGGAAGCCCUGUUCUAGUCUCUCUGCACAACCUUGAGCCAUCUCAUCAUCUGCACAUCUGCCUGAACCUCAGUCUCCCACUCUGGACGUUGUCGGGGUGAUGGAGCAAGCAUUCAGUUAUUCUCUGCUGGAUUCUGAUGUGGUCUAAAGUCCACACUUUGUUGUGAAACACCGCAAUCUGUGAUGUACAGAACCUAUUACUGCGGCCACCCAGGAAUGCUGGGGGCAGGCCUUUUGAGAAGGUGAAUCAGCGUGUGUUAGCUCAGGGCAGAGGGCCUGGCGGUGAGACGUGAGAACAGCCAAUGUCAUGGCGGUGGGGGAGUGGACGUGAGCCAUCUGGGGCCCAGCAAACAGCAUGUUGAAAAAAACGAGGAACUCAAAGGCAGAUGAGCCUACCACGCUGGGAACAGUUGGGAGUACAUUGCUCAAGGGAGGGACCCACAGCUCCGGCGCUCCGUUCAGCAUCUGGAAGAGCAUAGCUCGCUGUGAGCGGCCGCCCCAGAAGACUGUAUCCCACCCAGCCAGCUCUCCUGCCUGCUUGCCUCUGCCCCACACCAGGACACUUCAUACUGUCAGAACCACUGGGUGUGUGAGCUUGUGAGAGGGUGUGUGGGCACACAUGUCCCUGUGUGGGGUGUGGAGGUCAGAGGGCAACUUGGAGGAAUUGGUUCUCUCCUUCCACCACUGGGGCCCAGGAAUCAAGCCGAGGUUCCCAGACGUGGUAGCAGCCUCCCUUACCUGUUAAACCAGUGCUUCCCAGACUUCCUAAUGCUGUGACCUCAUGCUGUGCUGACCCCCGCCCAUGACAUUAUCUCUGUUGGUAUUUUAUAACUGUAAUUUUGCUACUAUUAUGAAUCACAAUGUAAA